This is a long non-coding RNA of Bubalus bubalis (water buffalo), 1771 nucleotides long. RefSeq lists it as uncharacterized. The record is from RefSeq and is a predicted model, not a curated record. NCBI's taxonomy places the organism in Eukaryota, Metazoa, Chordata, Mammalia, Artiodactyla, Bovidae. The transcript has 5 exons.
AGGUCAGGUGGUCUGGUAUUCCCAUCUCUUUAAGAAUUUUCCAGUUUUUUGUGAUCCACACAGUCAAAGGCUUUGGCAUAGUCAAUAAAUCCUUUGUUAGUGACAGUAGCAGUCAAGUGCUGUGUGAAGAUGGGAUAAACCAGUGUGUAUGUGUGAAAAGCCACUUUCACUUACAGCUAGCAGUGAUUGUAAUGUUGGGAGAAGGAAAACCUGAAAGGGGGAAGGAAAGGGUUAGAAGGAGGGGAGCCCAGCAGGUGGGCUUUUCCCCCAGCCCCGCUAGGGCCUGACUCAUCCCAGGGCACUGGGUGUGCGUGGAUCUGUACUAAAUGAGUUUUGUGAAAUUGCAGGGGAACAGCUCUUUCUGUGAGCAUCAGUUUGGCUGAUCCCAGGCGAUGGUUCUUGGUCUGGGGGCUUGGGGUGGGGAAUGCUGUGGAAAUGUGCAGUUGUUGUCUUUGAGGGAAUCCGCAGUGGGGUUUCAGUUGGCUGGUAGCCCCUGACGCUGUUACUGAACUUCACGUGGGUCCCUUCCUCUGGUUCCAGUAAAGCCUACCUGUGACUCCUGGCUGUGGUGAAGGACAGGGCAGCCUUUACUGCAAGGCCAAGCAAAGAAAGGUUUUUGAAGACAGGUUGGGGUGUGAGGAACCGGUAAAGCUCCUGCACAUUCUUCUGAUUGGUUGGUGGUGAGGUAAUCAGGAGUUAACAGCAUCAACCUGGUUCCAACGUGUUUGAGGUCAACUUACUUGUGCUCAGUCAGCAGUUAACUUCUUACAUCUGAUGGGGGUUUCAGUAUCUGCAAAACAGCUCAAGGAUGGCUCAGACUAUUAUCUACAGCCCUUAAGGAGGAACUAAAGGGUUUUUUCUUGCUUUUUAACUGAGAGCACGUCCUCUGCCUCUGUGACUUCAGGUGAAACAGGACCUGUUGAAGGGCUGUUGUUACGAGGGUGCGUUCCUGUACAGACCGUGCGAGUCUGAUGCCUUUGUGGGGAGAGCUGGCUCUGACCUGGACAGGCGUUGUGCGUUUGCUCAGCUGCCCGCGCACGAGUCCUGCCGCCAGUCUCCAGGUUCCAGUGGGAAUCACUGCACGUGUGCAUGGAUUUCUGAUGCAUUCUUGGGGAAGAACUCUGUGCAGAGGCUGCAGCGGGCACCGGGACCUACAACUAGCGGUAGAAACGUGAGACCCAGCGGGCAGGGUGCAUACGUGGCUUCGGAACAAAACAAGGGCCACUUACUCAAGAACUUUGGAUAACAUGGAAGAAAGAGUGGUCUGCAAGGGACGACAGACCCUCCUGUGAGGAGUUCACCUCUCUCCUCAGACUGUGAGACAGUACCUCUCCGAUCCCACCAGCCUGCUCGGGGGCACCAGGUACCACCUCACUUGCAUGCUUAUCUUCUUCCUGGAGAACCAUUCCAUUUCUGAAGAGCUUGUGAGAGAAACUGUUCACCACAGCACACCUAAAGUUUUCUAGUAUGUUUUUGAAAAUGACAAAAUGAAUAUAGCAUAUAUCGUCAUGGUUUUAUUUUAAGCAAAAAGUAAGUUCUCUUUUUACCAAGAAAUGUGAUGCUUAAACCAGAGAACACUGCGGGGUAUGGAAUAUGCAAAGAUUGCAACUUACCCCAGAAUUCUUGCAUUUGGUCAGGUGUUGCCAUCUUGUGUUUAGUGCAGGAUUAACUAAAUAUUCUGCUUAAAACGUCCUCCUUAUAUGUGCUAUGGAUGUGUUUAAAACAAGAUAAGGACAUAAUUUCAACUUGAAGAUUAGAAAGAAGUGUUUUU